Molecule: long non-coding RNA, 342 nt
Organism: Lycium barbarum (goji berry)
Lineage: Eukaryota; Viridiplantae; Streptophyta; Magnoliopsida; Solanales; Solanaceae
Exons: 3
Source: RefSeq, a predicted model, not a curated record
CGCCUAUUCCAAAAUUGCUUCUCUUUCUCACUUUCCCUGUAUUUUCUGUGCUUCUUCCUUUUAUGUUCUAUGUUUGCAUCUCUAUUUAGUAUUUAGUUAUUUCUGGUUACUUUUGAUUCUUCAAGUAUUGCAUGUUGGUAUCAAACUGCGGAUUGGAUUUCUUUUUUAAUUCAAUUAGAAGAAACUACACGGCGGUGAUCUUUGAGACUCUCAUAUUUGAAAGCCUUAUGUUAUUUGAAGCAUCUUCUCUAUCUUGAAACUCUUCGAUGGUACCGAAAUUACUCCGCCUUCAUCGACUAGUGAUGCUGACAUUGACGCCUUCGCUUUUCUUGGACUUGUAAG